AAGAUAUGGUAUUAACAAUAAACGUACAAAGAAAGUAGCCACAGGCCUUGCGAUCCCAGGACGCAAGUUCCAUGGAAACGAUAUUCCAGAUGAUUAUUGCAAAGUAGAAGUGACGACGGUCGUCCAAGGAUCCGAGGACGACAUGCUAGACAUCCCUGGGCCCGAAGGUAUCGAGAAACUUGGACAAGCUAUCAAGAAUUUUAUCCUUUGGCCUCGAAGGGAUGUCGAUUUGCUUGAUUGGUCGAAUUCGCCGCAGGCGUCGCAGGCCCAACCGUCUCCGCCUUCUCAAAUUUUUGCUCCUAUUGUACAUCCAUCAUCCUCACCUCCUCAAACUUCACAUGCUGCUCCUCAUCCUUUUUCUGACCCACCGUCUCCGCCACAAGCAUCACCAUUCAGGGCUCCACCACCUUCUCCUUCCCAUCCUCUUGGUGACCCACUGUCUACGCCACCAUCAAGGGAUCCACCUUCUCCACAGCCAUCAAACGAUCCAAGGCCAUCAAAGAAAUCUAAACUUCCUAUUCCAAAAUUGGUGUCCCCGUAUCAGAAAAAGAAGAGUAAAGCUACUACUGCUGGCACAGUUCGGUUUUUGAAAGGGAUUGGACGGAGCCUCACGUCACAAACUGUUGAUUUGGCCGAGCACGAGGAGUCUGCAAAAAAGGCUGAGGCAAUGGCCGCAAAGAUAAAGAAGCCAACUAAGGCAGAUUACAAAAACGUGCCUAAAAAAUAUGUGCC
RNAcentral lists this unclassified non-coding RNA (732 nucleotides) under Zea mays. RNAcentral's name for it is "misc RNA Zm00001eb116190". The record is from RNAcentral. Lineage: Eukaryota; Viridiplantae; Streptophyta; Magnoliopsida; Poales; Poaceae.